This 708-nucleotide long non-coding RNA is filed under the name Hordeum vulgare. Its description in RNAcentral is "long non-coding RNA (HVUL_LNC000111)". Lineage: Eukaryota; Viridiplantae; Streptophyta; Magnoliopsida; Poales; Poaceae. The record is from RNAcentral.
AUCAAAGUACGUACGUGCGUUCAUCCAUCCAUAAAUACAAGAGAAAGGAGCACACACCUAGCUACGAAAACCAUCUGAGUCCACGGUUUUUUCGCCCUAGCUACAUCUUCUCGUAGUUAGACCGCCUAUCAUCGUCACCGUCCUCAUGGAGAGCGAAUCCCCGUCGUCCUCGUCAGCGGAUCCUCACCCGUCGGCGCAACCCUAUGCCGUCGUCGACAUGGCUAUCAAGUGUUUGAACCAAGGCGCAUGCCGAGACAAGAUCGAGGCGUUGGCUGCCGCGUGCGUGGGGCAAGAACCACCACCGGACGCCGACGCCGACGAGGCCCGCGCCAGCGCGCGGGAGGCGCUGGUGAAGUGCAUAAUGGACGUCGUGGCAGCCGCUGCCCGUGAAACGGCGGAGCAGGAGGGAAAGUCGAGCUGAUUGUGAUCGACGCCGGUUCUCUCAUUACUCAUUAGCUAAUUGGCGCUAUAUACAACCUAGUUUCUUCAUGGAUGUUUUGGAUAGCUUAAUGAUGUGGAGUUUUUAUGAUGUAGAGUCGUAACUUAUUUUAGAUCCCUGCUAUUUGGUUUUGAGAGGGUUGUCUUGUGUACGCACAUCAUGUGCGCAGCUUUGUAAUGCUUUCAUCAUUAGUUAAUUCAGCCCUAUAUAUACAAUAAUGCUACACCCACGUAGAGCUACGUGAGUUUAUGUGCUGAUUAGGAUCGACG